GGCAAGCGUUAUCCGGAAUUAUUGGGCGUAAAGCGUCCGCAGGCGGCCCUUCAAGUCUGCUGUUAAAAAGUGGAGCUUAACUCCAUCAUGGCAGUGGAAACUGUUGGGCUUGAGUGUGGUAGGGGCAGAGGGAAUUCCGGUGUAGCGGUGAAAUGCGUAGAUAUCGGGAAGAACACCAGUGGCGAAGGCGCUCUGCUGGGCCAUCACUGACGCUCAUGGACGAAAGCCAGGGGAGCGAAAGGGAUUAGAUACCCCUGUAGUCCUGGCCGUAAACGAUGAACACUAGGUGUCGGGGGAAUCGACCCCCUCGGUGUCGUAGCCAACGCGUUAAGUGUUCCGCCUGGGGAGUACGCACGCAAGUGUGAAACUCAAAGGAAUUGACGGGGGCCCGCACAAGCGGUGGAGUAUGUGGUUUAAUUCGAUGCAACGCGAAGAACCUUACCAGGGUUUGACAUCCUGCGAAUCUCUUGGAAACGAGAGAGUGCCUUCGGGAACGCAGUGACAGGUGGUGCAUGGCU
RNAcentral lists this ribosomal RNA (518 nucleotides) under uncultured Prochlorococcus sp. Its description in RNAcentral is "bacterial SSU rRNA". It matches the Rfam family "Bacterial small subunit ribosomal RNA", at positions 533 to 1050 of the family's 1533-position model. Lineage: Bacteria; Bacillati; Cyanobacteriota; Cyanophyceae; Synechococcales; Prochlorococcaceae. The record is from RNAcentral.